This 1433-nucleotide ribosomal RNA is filed under the name Lactiplantibacillus plantarum. RNAcentral describes it as "bacterial SSU rRNA". It matches the Rfam family "Bacterial small subunit ribosomal RNA". Lineage: Bacteria; Bacillati; Bacillota; Bacilli; Lactobacillales; Lactobacillaceae. RNAcentral also lists the same sequence under 1 other name. The record is from RNAcentral.
UACAUGCAAGUCGAACGAACUCUGGUAUUGAUUGGUGCUUGCAUCAUGAUUUACAUUUGAGUGAGUGGCGAACUGGUGAGUAACACGUGGGAAACCUGCCCAGAAGCGGGGGAUAACACCUGGAAACAGAUGCUAAUACCGCAUAACAACUUGGACCGCAUGGUCCGAGUUUGAAAGAUGGCUUCGGCUAUCACUUUUGGAUGGUCCCGCGGCGUAUUAGCUAGAUGGUGGGGUAACGGCUCACCAUGGCAAUGAUACGUAGCCGACCUGAGAGGGUAAUCGGCCACAUUGGGACUGAGACACGGCCCAAACUCCUACGGGAGGCAGCAGUAGGGAAUCUUCCACAAUGGACGAAAGUCUGAUGGAGCAACGCCGCGUGAGUGAAGAAGGGUUUCGGCUCGUAAAACUCUGUUGUUAAAGAAGAACAUAUCUGAGAGUAACUGUUCAGGUAUUGACGGUAUUUAACCAGAAAGCCACGGCUAACUACGUGCCAGCAGCCGCGGUAAUACGUAGGUGGCAAGCGUUGUCCGGAUUUAUUGGGCGUAAAGCGAGCGCAGGCGGUUUUUUAAGUCUGAUGUGAAAGCCUUCGGCUCAACCGAAGAAGUGCAUCGGAAACUGGGAAACUUGAGUGCAGAAGAGGACAGUGGAACUCCAUGUGUAGCGGUGAAAUGCGUAGAUAUAUGGAAGAACACCAGUGGCGAAGGCGGCUGUCUGGUCUGUAACUGACGCUGAGGCUCGAAAGUAUGGGUAGCAAACAGGAUUAGAUACCCUGGUAGUCCAUACCGUAAACGAUGAAUGCUAAGUGUUGGAGGGUUUCCGCCCUUCAGUGCUGCAGCUAACGCAUUAAGCAUUCCGCCUGGGGAGUACGGCCGCAAGGCUGAAACUCAAAGGAAUUGACGGGGGCCCGCACAAGCGGUGGAGCAUGUGGUUUAAUUCGAAGCUACGCGAAGAACCUUACCAGGUCUUGACAUACUAUGCAAAUCUAAGAGAUUAGACGUUCCCUUCGGGGACAUGGAUACAGGUGGUGCAUGGUUGUCGUCAGCUCGUGUCGUGAGAUGUUGGGUUAAGUCCCGCAACGAGCGCAACCCUUAUUAUCAGUUGCCAGCAUUAAGUUGGGCACUCUGGUGAGACUGCCGGUGACAAACCGGAGGAAGGUGGGGAUGACGUCAAAUCAUCAUGCCCCUUAUGACCUGGGCUACACACGUGCUACAAUGGAUGGUACAACGAGUUGCGAACUCGCGAGAGUAAGCUAAUCUCUUAAAGCCAUUCUCAGUUCGGAUUGUAGGCUGCAACUCGCCUACAUGAAGUCGGAAUCGCUAGUAAUCGCGGAUCAGCAUGCCGCGGUGAAUACGUUCCCGGGCCUUGUACACACCGCCCGUCACACCAUGAGAGUUUGUAACACCCAAAGUCGGUGGGGUAACCUUUUAGGAACC